AGUGAACGCUGGCGGUAGGCCUAACACAUGCAAGUCGAACGGCAGCACAGUAAGAGCUUGCUCUUACGGGUGGCGAGUGGCGGACGGGUGAGGAAUACAUCGGAAUCUACUUUUUCGUGGGGGAUAACGUAGGGAAACUUACGCUAAUACCGCAUACGACCUACGGGUGAAAGCAGGGGAUCUUCGGACCUUGCGCGAUUGAAUGAGCCGAUGUCGGAUUAGCUAGUUGGCGGGGUAAAGGCCCACCAAGGCGACGAUCCGUAGCUGGUCUGAGAGGAUGAUCAGCCACACUGGAACUGAGACACGGUCCAGGCUCCUACGGGAGGCAGCAGUGGGGAAUAUUGGACAAUGGGCGCAAGCCUGAUCCAGCCAUACCGCGUGGGUGAAGAAGGCCUUCGGGUUGUAAAGCCCUUUUGUUGGGAAAGAAAAGCAGCAGGUUAAUACCCCGCUGUUCGGACGGUACCCAAAGAAUAAGCACCGGCUAACUUCGU
Molecule: ribosomal RNA, 491 nt
Filed under: uncultured bacterium
Lineage: Bacteria
Description: partial 16S ribosomal RNA
Rfam family: Bacterial small subunit ribosomal RNA
Source: RNAcentral